GAUGAACGCUGACAGAAUGCUUAACACAUGCAAGUCGACUCGAGUCUUCGGACUUGGGUGGCGCACGGGUGAGUAACGCGUAAAGAACUUGCCUCUUAGACCGGGACAACAUUUGGAAACGGCUGCUAAUACUGGAUAUUCACACAUUGUCGCAUGGUGGUGUGUGGAAAGCUUUUGUGGUGGGGGAUGGGCUCGCGGCCUAUCAGCUUGUUGGUGGGGUGAUGGCUUACCAAGGCUUUGACGGGUAACCGGCCUGAGAGGGUGACCGGUCACAUUGGAACUGAGAUACGGCCCAG
RNAcentral lists this ribosomal RNA (296 nucleotides) under uncultured bacterium. RNAcentral's name for it is "partial 16S ribosomal RNA". It matches the Rfam family "Bacterial small subunit ribosomal RNA", at positions 28 to 334 of the family's 1533-position model. The record is from RNAcentral.